CUAUCUCAGGAUAGCUCCGCCCUCCCUAUGACUAUCUCAGGAUAGCCCCGCCCUCCCUAUGACUAUCUCAGGGUAGCCCCGCCCUCCCUAUGACUGUCUCAGGAUAGCCCCGCCCUCCCUAUGACUAUCUCAGGGUAGCCCCGCCCCCCCAUGACUAUCUCAGGGUAGCCCCGCCCUCCCUAUGACUGUCUCAGGAUAGCCCUGCCCUCCCUAUGACUAUCUCGGGUAUUCUGUCACAGAGAGCUGAUAAACACUGACCAACCUCCUUUUGGUUCCCAGUCAAAAGUGCUUCCCUCCUGCCUCACUGGGGCUGCAGAGAGGACAUCACUGAGGCAUCCAGCAAAUCUGUGUCUACUGGGGAAAGCGAUGCGUCCAGAAUUAGGUGACCUCAGAUAAACUUCUUGGAUCUGUUUUGUGACCUGUAAAAUAGAUUAGCGACGUUGGCUCUCCCUGCUUCAGAGGGCUAAAUGAGUCGCACCCUUGCAGGAAGUAAAUUGCUGUGCAAA
This is a long non-coding RNA of Rattus norvegicus (Norway rat), 506 nucleotides long. RefSeq lists it as uncharacterized. Lineage: Eukaryota; Metazoa; Chordata; Mammalia; Rodentia; Muridae. The record is from RefSeq and is a predicted model, not a curated record.